GAUGAACGCUGGCGGUGUGCUUAACACAUGCGAGUCGAACGGAAAGGCACUGAUUUUGUGGGGUGCUCGAGUGGCGAACGGGUGAGUAACACGUGUGUAACCUGCUCUUGACUUUGGGAUAACUUAAGGAAACUGGGGCUAAUCUAGGAUAGGAGCUGAUGCAGCAUGGUGGGGGUUGGAAAGUUUCGGCGGUCGGGGUUGGAUGCGCGGCUUAUCAGUUUGUUGGUGGGGGAGUGGAUUACCAAGGCUUUGACUGGUAGUCGACCUGAGAGCGUGACCAGCCACAAGAGUACUGAGGUACGGCCCAGACUCCUACAUGAGACAACGGGGGGAAGUAUUGCACAGUGAUCGGGAGCCUGUUGCGGCAACGCCGCGUUCGUAAUGACGGCCUUCGGGUUAUAAACCGCUUUCGCCUAUGACGAAGCUUGAGUGACGGUAAUGAAUGAAGAAGCACCGGCUAACUACGUG
Molecule: ribosomal RNA, 468 nt
Filed under: uncultured bacterium
Lineage: Bacteria
Description: partial 16S ribosomal RNA
Rfam family: Bacterial small subunit ribosomal RNA
Source: RNAcentral